AUUCUGGUUGAUCCCGGCGGAGGUCACUGCUAUUGGGAUUCGACUAAGCCAUGCGAGUCGAGAGGGUUCGGCCCUCGGCUGACGGCUCAGUAACACGUGGAUAAUCUGCCCUAAGGUGGAGGAUAACCUCGGGAAACUGAGAAUAAUACUCCAUAAGUCUAGGAUGCUGGAAUGCACUUAGGCUGAAAACUUCGGUGCCUUAGGAUGAGUCUGCGGACUAUCAGGUUGUAGUCAGGGUAAAGACCUGACUAGCCUACGACGGAUACGGGUUGUGAGAGCAAUAACCCGGAGAUGAUAUCUGAGACACGAUAUCAGGCCCUACGGGGCGCAGCAGGCGCGAAAACUUCACACUGCGCAGAAGCGCGAUGAGGGAAUCCCAAGUGUAUGCACGUAAGUGUAUACUGCUUCUCUGUCUAAAAAGCAGAGAGAGUAAGAGCUGGGUAAGACGGGUGCCAGCCGCCGCGGUAAUACCUGCAGCUCAAGUGGUGAUCGUUAUUAUUGGGCCUAAAACGUCCGUAGCCGGUCUUGUAAAUGCCUGGGUAAAUCGUAUGGCUUAACCAUACGAAUUCCGGGUAGACUGUUAGACUUGAGACCGGGAGAAGCUAGAGGUACUCCUGGGGUAGAGGUGAAAUUCUGUAAUCCUAGGGGGACCACCAGUGGCGAAGGCGUCUAGCUAGAACGGGUCUGACGGUGAGGGACGAAGCCCUGGGGCGCAAACGGGAUUAGAUACCCCGGUAGUCCAGGGUGUAAACGCUGCUUGCUUGAUGUUAGUCUGGCUCCGAGCCAGAUUAGUGUCGGAGAGAAGUUGUUAAGCAAGCUGCCUGGGAAGUACGGCCGCAAGACUGAAACUCAAAGGAAUUGACGGGG
RNAcentral lists this ribosomal RNA (867 nucleotides) under uncultured archaeon. RNAcentral describes it as "bacterial SSU rRNA". It matches the Rfam family "Archaeal small subunit ribosomal RNA", at positions 1 to 873 of the family's 1478-position model. The record is from RNAcentral.